CAAGCGUUGUCCGGAAUUAUUGGGCGUAAAGAGCUCGUAGGCGGUCUGUCACGUCGGCUGUGAAAACCCGAGGCUCAACCUCGGGCCUGCAGUCGAUACGGGCAAACUAGAGUACUGCAGGGGAGACUGGAAUUCCUGGUGUAGCGGUGAAAUGCGUAGAUAUCUGGAGGAAUACCGGUGGCGAAGGCGGCAUCCUGGACCGGCAUUGACGCUGAUGAGCGAAAGCUAGGGGAGCAAACGGG
Molecule: ribosomal RNA, 242 nt
Filed under: uncultured bacterium
Lineage: Bacteria
Description: partial 16S ribosomal RNA
Rfam family: Bacterial small subunit ribosomal RNA
Source: RNAcentral